GGGAGGCAGCAGUGGGGAAUCUUGCACAAUGGGCGAAAGCCUGAUGCAGCGACGCCGCGUGAAGGAUGAAGGCCUUCGGGUUGUAAACUUCUUUUGCAGGGGAAGAUAAUGACGGUACCCUGCGAAUAAGCCACGGCUAACUCUGUGCCAGCAGCCGCGGUAAGACAGAGGUGGCGAGCGUUGUUCGGAAUUACUGGGCUUAAAGGGCGCGUAGGCGGUGAUAUAAGUCUGGGGUGGAAGCCCAUAGCUUAACUAUGGGACUGCCCUGGAAACUGUAUUGCUUGAGUCGGACAGGGGAAGGCGGAAUUCCAGGUGUAGCGGUGAAAUGCGUAGAUAUCUGGAGGAAGGCCUGUGGUGAAGACGGCCUUCUGGGUCUUGACUGACGCUGAGGCGCGAAAGCGUGGGUAGCAAACAGGAUUAGAUACCCCGGU
This 431-nucleotide ribosomal RNA is filed under the name uncultured bacterium. RNAcentral's name for it is "bacterial SSU rRNA". It matches the Rfam family "Bacterial small subunit ribosomal RNA", at positions 343 to 791 of the family's 1533-position model. The record is from RNAcentral.